AAGUCGUAACAAGGUAACCGUAGGUGAACCUGCGGUUGGAUCAUUAAUAAUGAUAGUUGUUGGAUAGCGGGGCAUUCAAACAAGGAUUUUGUAUUUUUCAAUGUUCUUUCUUGCCACCUUUCCAACGGCUAAACACCUUUGUGCACCAUAAUUGUAUUUGGGUUGGUCUUUAGUACCAACCCGCCUAUUAACUUCUAUUAUUUUGCCUGACUUUUGUUUCUAUGAAUCAAAAACAACUUUUAACAACGGAUCUCUUGGCUCUC
RNAcentral lists this unclassified non-coding RNA (263 nucleotides) under fungal sp. RNAcentral's name for it is "partial internal transcribed spacer region". The stretch from base 1 to 46 matches the Rfam family "Eukaryotic small subunit ribosomal RNA", at positions 1786 to 1831 of the family's 1831-position model. The record is from RNAcentral. Lineage: Eukaryota; Fungi.